This 247-nucleotide ribosomal RNA is filed under the name uncultured bacterium. RNAcentral describes it as "partial 16S ribosomal RNA". It matches the Rfam family "Bacterial small subunit ribosomal RNA", at positions 523 to 769 of the family's 1533-position model. The record is from RNAcentral.
AUACGUAGGUGGCGAGCGUUAUCCGGAUUUACUGGGUGUAAAGGGUGUGUAGGCGGGUUGUCAAGUCAGAUGUGAAAUGCCGUGGCUUAACCACGGCACUGCAUCAGAAACUGGCAAUCUUGAGGGUGGGAGAGGUAAGCGGAAUUCCUGGUGUAGCGGUGAAAUGCGUAGAUAUAUGGAGGAACACCAGUGGCGAAGGCGGCUCUCUGGUCUGUAACUGACGCUGAGGCUCGAAAGCGUGGGGAGC